UCAGAUUGAACGCUGGCGGCAUGCUUUACACAUGCAAGUCGAACGGCAGCACGAAAGAGCUUGCUCUUUUGGUGGCGAGUGGCGAACGGGUGAGUAAUACAUUGGAACGUACCGAGUAAUGGGGGAUAACUGUCCGAAAGGAUGGCUAAUACCGCAUACGCUCUGAGGAGGAAAGCGGGGGACCUUCGGGCCUCGCGUUAUUCGAGCGGCCAAUGUCUGAUUAGCUAGUUGGUGGGGUAAAGGCCUACCAAGGCGACGAUCAGUAGUGGGUCUGAGAGGAUGAUCCGCCACACUGGGACUGAGACACGGCCCAGACUCCUACGGGAGGCAGCAGUGGGGAAUUUUGGACAAUGGGCGAAAGCCUGAUCCAGCCAUGCCGCGUGUCUGAAGAAGGCCUUCGGGUUGUAAAGGACUUU
Molecule: ribosomal RNA, 416 nt
Filed under: uncultured Neisseria sp.
Lineage: Bacteria; Pseudomonadati; Pseudomonadota; Betaproteobacteria; Neisseriales; Neisseriaceae
Description: bacterial SSU rRNA
Rfam family: Bacterial small subunit ribosomal RNA
Source: RNAcentral